AGUGAACGCUGGCGGUAGGCCUAACACAUGCAAGUCGAACGGCAGCACAGUAAGAGCUUGCUCUUACGGGUGGCGAGUGGCGGACGGGUGAGGAAUACAUCGGAAUCUACUUUUUCGUGGGGGAUAACGUAGGGAAACUUACGCUAAUACCGCAUACGACCUACGGGUGAAAGCAGGGGAUCUUCGGACCUUGCGCGAUUGCAUGAGCCGAUGUCGGAUUAGCUAGUUGGCGGGGUAAAGGCCCACCAAGGCGACGAUCCGUAGCUGGUCUGAGAGGAUGAUCAGCCACACUGGAACUGAGACACGGUCCAGACUCCUACGGGAGGCAGCAGUGGGGAAUAUUGGACAAAGGGCGCAAGCCUGAUCCAGCCAUACCGCGUGGGUGAAGAAGGCCUUCGGGUUGUAAAGCCCUUUUGUUGGGAAAGAAAAGCAGCAGGUUAAUACCCCGCUGUUCUGACGGUACCCAAAGAAUAAGCACCGGCUAACUUCGUG
RNAcentral lists this ribosomal RNA (492 nucleotides) under uncultured bacterium. RNAcentral's name for it is "partial 16S ribosomal RNA". It matches the Rfam family "Bacterial small subunit ribosomal RNA", at positions 29 to 507 of the family's 1533-position model. The record is from RNAcentral.